Molecule: ribosomal RNA, 429 nt
Filed under: uncultured Erysipelotrichaceae bacterium
Lineage: Bacteria; Bacillati; Bacillota; Erysipelotrichia; Erysipelotrichales; Erysipelotrichaceae
Description: bacterial SSU rRNA
Rfam family: Bacterial small subunit ribosomal RNA
Source: RNAcentral
UAGGGAAUUUUCGUCAAUGGAGGAAACUCUGAACGAGCAAUGCCGCGUGAGUGAAGACGGCCUUCGGGCUGUAAAGCUCUGUUGCGGGGAAUAAGAGGAAGGAAGAGUGGAAAGCUUCCUUCAGGAUCGUACCCCGCCAGAAAGUCACGGCUAACUACGUGCCAGCAGCCGCGGUAAUACGUAGGUGGCGAGCGUUAUCCGGAAUGAUUGGGCGUAAAGGGUGCGCAGGCUGCCGGUCAAGUCUUCAGUGAAAGAUCGAAGCUCAACUUCGGUUUGCUGAGGAAACUGGCCGGCUGGAGAGCAGGAGAGGGCGGUGGAACUCCAUGUGUAGCGGUAAAAUGCGUAGAUAUAUGGAAGAACACCAGUGGCGAAGGCGGCCGCCUGGACUGCAUCUGACGCUGAGGCACGAAAGCGUGGGGAGCAAAUAGG